CGGGUGUAGUUCAAUGGUAGAAUCCCAGCCUUCCAAGCUGGUCGUGCGGGUUCGAUUCCCGUCACCC
Molecule: transfer RNA, 67 nt
Filed under: Candidatus Scybalenecus merdavium
Lineage: Bacteria; Bacillati; Bacillota; Clostridia; Eubacteriales; Oscillospiraceae
Also listed under: 1 other name
Rfam family: tRNA
About the family: Transfer RNA (tRNA) molecules are approximately 80 nucleotides in length. Their secondary structure includes four short double-helical elements and three loops (D, anti-codon, and T loops).
Source: RNAcentral